CGCUGGCGGCGUGCCUAAUACAUGCAAGUCGUACGCUUCUUUUUCCACCGGAGCUUGCUCCACCGGAAAAAGAAGAGUGGCGAACGGGUGAGUAACACGUGGGUAACCUGCCCAUCAGAAGGGGAUAACACUUGGAAACAGGUGCUAAUACCGUAUAACAAUCGAAACCGCAUGGUUUUGAUUUGAAAGGCGCUUUCGGGUGUCGCUGAUGGAUGGACCCGCGGUGCAUUAGCUAGUUGGUGAGGUAACGGCUCACCAAGGCCACGAUGCAUAGCCGACCUGAGAGGGUGAUCGGCCACAUUGGGACUGAGACACGGCCCAAACUCCUACGGGAGGCAGCAGUAGGGAAUCUUCGGCAAUGGACGAAAGUCUGACCGAGCAACGCCGCGUGAGUGAAGAAGGUUUUCGGAUCGUAAAACUCUGUUGUUAGAGAAGAAUAAGGAUGAGAGUAACUGUUCAUCCCUUGACGGUAUCUAACCAGAAAGCCACGGCUAACUACGUGCCAGCAGCCGCGGUAAUACGUAGGUGGCAAGCGUUGUCCGGAUUUAUUGGGCGUAAAGCGAGCGCAGGCGGUUUCUUAAGUCUGAUGUGAAAGCCCCCGGCUCAACCGGGGAGGGUCAUUGGAAACUGGGAGACUUGAGUGCAGAAGAGGAGAGUGGAAUUCCAUGUGUAGCGGUGAAAUGCGUAGAUAUAUGGAGGAACACCAGUGGCGAAGGCGGCUCUCUGGUCUGUAACUGACGCUGAGGCUCGAAAGCGUGGGGAGCAAACAGGAUUAGAUACCCUGGUAGUCCACGCCGUAAACGAUGAGUGCUAAGUGUUGGAGGGUUUCCGCCCUUCAGUGCUGCAGCUAACGCAUUAAGCACUCCGCCUGGGGAGUACGACCGCAAGGUUGAAACUCAAAGGAAUUGACGGGGGCCCGCACAAGCGGUGGAGCAUGUGGUUUAAUUCGAAGCAACGCGAAGAACCUUACCAGGUCUUGACAUCCUUUGACCACUCUAGAGAUAGAGCUUCCCCUUCGGGGGCAAAGUGACAGGUGGUGCAUGGUUGUCGUCAGCUCGUGUCGUGAGAUGUUGGGUUAAGUCCCGCAACGAGCGCAACCCUUAUUGUUAGUUGCCAUCAUUCAGUUGGGCACUCUAGCAAGACUGCCGGUGACAAACCGGAGGAAGGUGGGGAUGACGUCAAAUCAUCAUGCCCCUUAUGACCUGGGCUACACACGUGCUACAAUGGGAAGUACAACGAGUCGCGAAGUCGCGAGGCUAAGCUAAUCUCUUAAAGCUUCUCUCAGUUCGGAUUGUAGGCUGCAACUCGCCUACAUGAAGCCGGAAUCGCUAGUAAUCGCGGAUCAGCACGCCGCGGUGAAUACGUUCCCGGGCCUUGUACACACCGCCCGUCACACCACGAGAGUUUGUAACACCCGAAGUCGGUGAGGUAACCUUUUGGAGCCAGCCGCCUAAGGUGGGAUAGAUGAU
Molecule: ribosomal RNA, 1469 nt
Filed under: Enterococcus durans
Lineage: Bacteria; Bacillati; Bacillota; Bacilli; Lactobacillales; Enterococcaceae
Description: bacterial SSU rRNA
Rfam family: Bacterial small subunit ribosomal RNA
Source: RNAcentral